GGGUCAGUAGGUUGGUCGUGCCACCGGUACGUACUGGUCUCACUGAUUCCUCCUUCCUGAAGAACCGUAAUGCCAUUAAUUUGGUGUUGCGGGGAAACAGGACUGUUACUUCGAAAAAAUUAGAGUGUUUAAAGCAAGCUAACGCUUGAAUACAUUAGCAUGGAAUAAUGAAAUAGGACGAUCGAUCCUAUUUUGUUGGUUUCUAGGAUUGACGCA
RNAcentral lists this ribosomal RNA (216 nucleotides) under Glomeromycotina sp. Its description in RNAcentral is "partial small subunit ribosomal RNA". The stretch from base 44 to 216 matches the Rfam family "Eukaryotic small subunit ribosomal RNA", at positions 690 to 864 of the family's 1831-position model. Lineage: Eukaryota; Fungi; Glomeromycota. The record is from RNAcentral.